UACAGAGGUGCAAGCGUUGUUCGGAAUUAUUGGCGUAAAGGCGCGUAGGCGGUGCGGUAAGUCUGCGGUGAAUCCCCGGCUCAACCGGGAACGGCACCGAUACGACUGGCCUGGAGGGAGUAGGGGAGCCUGGAACUUCCGGUGGAGCGGUGAAUGUGUUGAUAUUGGAAGGAACGCCGGUGGCGAAAGCGACACACUGGACCU
RNAcentral lists this ribosomal RNA (204 nucleotides) under uncultured bacterium. RNAcentral describes it as "partial 16S ribosomal RNA". It matches the Rfam family "Bacterial small subunit ribosomal RNA", at positions 524 to 736 of the family's 1533-position model. The record is from RNAcentral.